This 497-nucleotide ribosomal RNA is filed under the name uncultured bacterium. Its description in RNAcentral is "partial 16S ribosomal RNA". It matches the Rfam family "Bacterial small subunit ribosomal RNA", at positions 28 to 507 of the family's 1533-position model. The record is from RNAcentral.
GAUGAACGCUGGCGGCGUGCCUAAUACAUGCAAGUCGAGCGAACAGACGAGGAGCUUGCUCCUCUGACGUUAGCGUCGGACGGGUGAGUAACACGUGGAUAACCUACCUAUAAGACUGGGAUAACUUCGGGAAACCGGAGCUAAUACCGGAUAAUAUAUUGAACCGCAUGGUUCAAUAGUGAAAGACGGUUUUGCUGUCACUUAUAGAUGGAUCCGCGCCGCAUUAGCUAGUUGGUAAGGUAAUGGCUUACCAAGGCGACGAUGCGUAGCCGACCUGAGAGGGUGAUCGGCCACACUGGAACUGAGACACGGUCCAGACUCCUACGGGAGGCAGCAGUAGGGAAUCUUCCGCAAUGGGCGAAAGCCUGACGGAGCAACGCCGCGUGAGUGAUGAAGGUCUUCGGAUCGUAAAACUCUGUUAUUAGGGAAGAACAAAUGUGUAAGUAACUAUGCACGUCUUGACGGUACCUAAUCAGAAAGCCACGGCUAACUACGUG